GACGAACCGAGCGAACGUUGUUCGGAAUCACUGGGCUUAAAGGGCGCGUAGGCGGGCGACCAAGUCCUGGGUGAAAUCCUCCGGCUUAACCGGAGAAGUGCCUGAGAUACUGGUCGUCUGGAGGGAGGUAGGGGCAGCUGGAACUUCCGGUGGAGCGGUGAAAUGCGUUGAUAUCGGAAGGAACGCCGGUGGCGAAAGUGAGCUGCCGGACCUCUUAUGACGUUGAGGCGCGAAAGCCAGGGGAGCAAACGGG
This 253-nucleotide ribosomal RNA is filed under the name uncultured bacterium. RNAcentral's name for it is "partial 16S ribosomal RNA". It matches the Rfam family "Bacterial small subunit ribosomal RNA", at positions 524 to 776 of the family's 1533-position model. The record is from RNAcentral.